UAACGCGAAGAACCUUACCUGGGCUUGACAUGUGGAUGACCGGCCUGGAAACAGGUCUUCCCUUCGGGGCAUCUUCACAGGUGGUGCAUGGCUGUCGUCAGCUCGUGUCGUGAGAUGUUGGGUUAAGUCCCGCAACGAGCGCAACCCCCGUCGUAUGUUGCCAGCAUUUAGUUGGGGACUCAUGCGAGACUGCCGGUGACAAACCGGAGGAAGGUGGGGAUGACGUCAAGUCAUCAUGCCCCUUAUGUCCAGGGCUACACACGUGCUACAUUGGCGCGUACAGAGGGCUGCGAUGCCGCGAGGCGGAGCGAAUCCCUUAAAGCGCGUCUCGGUUCGGAUUGCAGGCUGAAACCCGCCUGCAUGAAGGCGGAGUUGCUAGUAAUCGCGGAUCAGCAUUGCCGCGGUGAAUACGUUCCCGGGUCUUGUACACACCGA
RNAcentral lists this ribosomal RNA (435 nucleotides) under uncultured bacterium. Its description in RNAcentral is "bacterial SSU rRNA". It matches the Rfam family "Bacterial small subunit ribosomal RNA", at positions 957 to 1393 of the family's 1533-position model. The record is from RNAcentral.